Molecule: long non-coding RNA, 2933 nt
Organism: Ictalurus punctatus (channel catfish)
Lineage: Eukaryota; Metazoa; Chordata; Actinopteri; Siluriformes; Ictaluridae
Source: Ensembl
UGAAAUUAUACCUAAUGAGCAAGGUAGAGAUGACGUUGGAAAGGAAAAACUCGGUGAGAUGAUAUGAGGAAGAAACCUCGAGAGGAACAAGACUCAAAAGGGAACCCAUCCUUUAUAACCCCCUUCUAGAGCUGUGUACUAUAUGGUCAAAUAAUGCAAUUGUGUAAACAGGAAAUUCGUUAUAGUUUUCACACAAAGUCUGUUUUGUUGAACUUCUCCACUGUUCACUGAUGGAGACUUGAGUGCAAAACUGUUCAUAUGAAUUGUGGUCCAAAGCCAUCUUCGUGGUUUUUAAGUGGUACCAUCCUCAGUAAUCUCCAUGACCUUCAGUGAAGUUAUCUAUAUUUAUCUAAGGCUCAAACAGAGAUUUAAAUUGUUGUUGGAAAUAUUCCAAAAGGAAUACUAAUAUUAAUCAUUUUAUAGCAAUUGGAAAAUACUGAAAAAGUUUUGCUAAAGCUAACAAAACUUACUAUACACUCCAACAGAUACUUGUAAAUUUCCAUGUCACCAAGGCGGUACCCUCAAAGGCACAUCUUUUAUGCCUGCAAUAUGUAUCUUUCAUCUCAAAAGAUGGAGAUAGUGUACCUAUAGUGUACCUUUAAAAAUGAUUUAAGGUCCAUACGUACCCUUUCUUUCUGAUGCAUGAUCAGUUCCACACUCUCACCACUCUCGGGUUUAAUCGAUUAAUUCGGUUCGCUUCAACAGGCUGUAUUGGCAUGAUCAUAUACAUGUACGGUAUUGCCAACGCAUUACGGGAAUGUCGAACUGUUAAUAAUAAACAUUAGUUUAUUGAUUUUAUAAAGCACAUUUAAAACAACGGAUGUUGAAACCGAAGUGCUGUACGAGAAAUAUAAAACCGAAUUAAAAGAGUAAACAAAAACCAAAGAAAAGACCAAUGAAAAAUUGACAUCCUCGAUUAAAACAUAAAGAAUACGAGUGAGUUUUCAAACGGGAUUUAAACACGGAAACGGAAGGGGAAGAUCUAAUGUGGAGAGGAAGACUAUUCCAAAGCCUAGGAGCAGCCACCGAGAAAGCCCGGUCACUUUUAGCCUUAAAACAUGAACGAGGAACUGAGAGUGGUAGUAGUGUGUUAGUAGCAUUAGUGUUGUUUUCGUAGAAGAUUGUUAUCAGAAUCUGAAUAAACAUAUUGUAUUAGUGUCCAUUUGUUGUAGUGGGUGGGUUACUCACUGUCCCUCAGGUUGUGGCAGGCACACAGGCUAAAAUGCACCUCUCCUUUAUUUCUCCUAACGGUACGGGCAGUUUGUCAGUGUUUGGCGGAAGGAUGAACUGGGGAUGUGUGAUGUGAUGUUUUUUUAAAAUAUAAUUCACGCAAGUGUUUGAAGUUGUUACACUCGGUUAGAAAGUGCAGCUCUGUCUCCACUGUGUUGCUGUUGCACUGUGUGCGCACUCUGCUCUUUAGGGAGCCGCGAUUACUUCUAGCGGCCGUCUCGACGGCCAGUGUGUGUGCCGAGUCUGGACUGUGUCAGCGUGGUUCUGCGUCGGUGUGCGGUCACUGUGCUCAGGUAGUCCGCUACAGUGUACUGUGCGUUUCGGGCCAGACAGCACUGCAUUUUACUUUGUGCUUGUGUGUUCGUAGGGGUGGAUGUAGUUUUGUUUCUGUAGUGUUAUAAUUUGGUGAGGUCUGAUGGGUCUGAUUUGUUCUUGUGUCCGGCUGCUCCUGGGGUAGAACCGUGUUAGCGUGUGUUAAUGAGCUGAGGUUCAGGACUAGCCGGGCGAGGAGAAUCGUCUUUGUGAGCGGCCCCCAGACCUCACUACCGUACAGCAGAAUCGAUUUGAAUUGGGAUUUGGGAAUGAAUUUGUUGUGUAGAAUUUUACUUGCGCCUGCUCUGUCAGCUCAUUCGCCGCUGGACUGAAAUUUCCAGUGGUAUUAAUUUUCAAUCCGAAGUAUUUGUAUUCUUUGCAAUUUCUAUUCUGUGCGUCCCUAAAGUGAAGUUAAUCACUACUUGUGGCGAAGUCUCUGUGAAGUGAGCUGCUCUAAUGGCUUUGACGUUAAAUAGUACAAUAUCCUUUCCAAACCAAAAGUAGAAUCUGUUAAAGCCUCUAGGGUUAUACAUUACUCCCACAUAUGAUUGGUAGUGUUUUGGCUUCUAGACUGGUGGACAUGCUGGAUGCUGCUGAAAAAUACUUUGAGGAGUCCUGGGAUUGACACCAGCUCUGUGUGUUGGUGCAAAAAGGGUAUUGGAAAGGCCAAAAGUAAACCUGGAGAAGUAUUAACAUUAGCUUCUGAAGUAAGAAAUUUGGUGAGGAGAUAAGUGAUAUGAUUUGAUUAUAUAAUGCAGAUAUUUUAGUUUUUAAGGUGCAUGUACAGGACUCCUGGACAAGGAGACAUCUGCUUGAGCUUCCAGACAUCUGUAGAAAACCUCCCAUCUGCUGGUAUAUGCACCGGACUGUUCAUGUGGACCGAAUAAAAAUGGAAUCUCUGUCAACUACACACCCACACCUCCUGACUCUUCUCUGCACUCAAGAAAUAAUUUACUGUCUGUUUCGUUUUGCACAGGAACCCACAAGCUGUAGGUAGUUUCCUCCAACCUGCCAACAAACACGACUGCAGGUGGAUCGGCUGUGUGUGUGAAUCUUCGUGCAUGGUGUUGUGCGAUGGACUGGCAUCCCAUCCCACCUUCGACCCACUGUGAUCGGCUCGGGAUCCACCGUGACGCUGCCCAGGAUUAAACGUCUACUGAAGAUGAAGGAACAAAUCAUUUGUGUACACGUAAUGAUUUUGGAUUGUAUUAUAUACAGGUGCAUCUAAAAAAACAAAACAAAAACAGAAUAUUGUGGAAAAGUUCGUUUUGUUCCUUAAUUUAAUUUAAUUAAAAAGUGGAACUUUCAUAUAUUCUGGAUUCAUUACACAUAAAGUGAAAUAUUUAAAGCCCUUUUUUGUUUGUUUUAAUCUUGAUGAUUAUGGCUCACAG